RNAcentral lists this ribosomal RNA (609 nucleotides) under Zygoascus meyerae. RNAcentral describes it as "eukaryotic LSU rRNA". It matches the Rfam family "Eukaryotic large subunit ribosomal RNA", at positions 38 to 667 of the family's 3401-position model. Lineage: Eukaryota; Fungi; Ascomycota; Dipodascomycetes; Dipodascales; Trichomonascaceae. The record is from RNAcentral.
GCAUAUCAAUAAGCGGAGGAAAAGAAACCAACAGGGAUUGCCUUAGUAGCGGCGAGUGAAGCGGCAAAAGCUCAAAUUUGAAAUCUGGUACUUUCAGUAUCCGAGUUGUAAUUUGUAGAAGCAACUUUGGUGAUGGUCUUUGCAUAAGUUCCUUGGAAUAGGACGUCAUAGAGGGUGAGAAUCCCGUUUAUGGUGAAGAACCCACACUAUGUAAAGUGCUUUCGAAGAGUCGAGUUGUUUGGGAAUGCAGCUCAAAGUGGGUGGUAAAUUCCAUCUAAAGCUAAAUAUUGGCGAGAGACCGAUAGCGAACAAGUACUGUGAAGGAAAGAUGAAAAGAACUUUGAAAAGAGAGUGAAAAAGUACGUGAAAUUGUUGAAAGGGAAGGGAUCUAAAUCAGACAUGGUAUUUUGUGAUCAACAGUCUUUCGGGACUGUGCACUCGCAUUUUACUAGGCCAGCAUCGGUUAGAAGGGGGUAAAAAAGAUUUUGGAAUGUGGCUCCUCGGAGUGUUAUAGCCAAGGUUAAUUGCCCCAUUUCUGACCGAGGACCGCGUCUUUUGACUAGGAUGCUGGCGUAAUGGUUUUGAUCCACCCGUCUUGAAACACGGACC